AUAGUGUAGACAAAUUGUGAAUUGUGCACGCUAAAAUGAAUGAUUUAACUUGUGUAAUACAUAUACACGACGACAUACAAUAGAUCAGUAGAAACUUAAACAAAAAUUGUAUACUUACCAAAUUUUAUAAAAUAAGUUAAAUCCUGUUUAUAUAAGAAUAUUUAGACACAAUCGAUAAUGCGAUAACGCACAUGCUUGCUGAACCAACACUAUGCCCAAUUACUUUCAAUGGAACACGGAUCAUUUGAUAAAAUCGAUAACGGAAAAAAUUCCG
This 274-nucleotide long non-coding RNA is filed under the name Mytilus galloprovincialis (Mediterranean mussel). The record is from RNAcentral. Lineage: Eukaryota; Metazoa; Mollusca; Bivalvia; Mytilida; Mytilidae.